UUGGAUUCGCUGGUGGCGGCUUCAGACUCCUCCGGUCUUCCCCAUCUCCCGCCAAGAGCGAUGGUCAUCAUCUCGUAGAUCUUGCCACCCAACUCAGCUGGGCUGUCAGGCUGGAUGAUGCAAAUGAAGAAACAUGAGGAAAUAGCAACAUUCAUAGGCAUGUGGCAAGGUAUAAGAACUAGCAGGGUACAGUAACUCUUACACUCAAGUCCUUGACAAUUGGGUGGUCGGGGUUGAUUUCAAAAAUUCUUCUUCCUCUCAUGAACUCUAAGCUUGAAGUAUCACCAAGUGUUUGUGCCUUCAUAAGCCUUACCUUUCCAUGUUUGCUGACCAACCAAAUUUGCCAGAUACAAGAACACAUGGCGAAGAGCUAAGCCGGUUUGAUAUCUGAACCUUGGCAACUUUGUCACCAAGCUGUUGCUUUAUCCAGUCACAUAGAAGAGUGUAUUCCUGCUUGCUCUCAUUUUCCUUCCAACCGCAUCAAAAUUCCAUUACCCAAUUCCAGGUCUUCUUUGCUGAUAUCAACAAAUUUUUUCUCUUUGUAUGUCUGUAAAUUCUGAAUGGCAACCUCAUCAAUCGGCUCGAUAAGGUAGAACUUCAAUGUCUUUUUGAACCAACUUUUCCAAGAAAGGAGCAGUCUUUGCACUCUGAAGACUGUCUGUAGCAAUGUAGUAGAUUGCCUUUUGGUUUUCUGGCAUGUUCUCUACAUACUGAUCAAGACUUAUCAAAUCUGUCUCAUUUUUGGAAGAGUAAAACCGCAACAGAGGAGCAAGGCGUUUGUGAUUU
This 786-nucleotide small RNA is filed under the name Oryza sativa Japonica Group (Japanese rice). Its description in RNAcentral is "sRNA Os09g0474350". Lineage: Eukaryota; Viridiplantae; Streptophyta; Magnoliopsida; Poales; Poaceae. The record is from RNAcentral.